Pelobates cultripes (western spadefoot toad) is the source of this 359-nucleotide non-coding RNA. The record is from the annotation of a GenBank genome assembly. Lineage: Eukaryota; Metazoa; Chordata; Amphibia; Anura; Pelobatidae.
AUAUAUUUGAGCCAGAAUAUAAUAAAGUAUAGGGUGAAUAGGUAGAUAAGUAUUCAUUAAAGGGAAAGUGUGAGUUUUUAAACAGUCAAUCAAAGGAUGUAUUAGAGGUCUAUUGGGAAUUAACCCAUACCUCUUCCAUCUUCAGAGCUAAACAGAAGUUCCUCUCACUCUCUUGCAGACCUGGCAUGUGUGUUGUGUGAAGUGUUGCCAUAGUAACCCACCGCAACGCUCUUACAGCCGCAGCUUGCUAGAAGAUACUAAAGGAUAUGGAACUAGGAGUCUCCCGGGCUCCCGCUUUAGUAUACUACAUAUACAAAAUUGAGGUAUAGGGCCCAGGCUUGCUUGGACCCACUGGUGAC